This 301-nucleotide ribosomal RNA is filed under the name uncultured bacterium. Its description in RNAcentral is "partial 16S ribosomal RNA". It matches the Rfam family "Bacterial small subunit ribosomal RNA", at positions 509 to 807 of the family's 1533-position model. The record is from RNAcentral.
CAGUAGCCGCGGUAAUACGAAGGGUGCAAGCGUUACUCGGAAUUACUGGGCGUAAAGCGUGCGUAGGUGGUUGUUUAAGUCUGCUGUGAAAGCCCUGGGCUCAACCUGGGAAUUGCAGUGGAUACUGGGCGACUAGAGUAAGGUAGAGGAUAGUGGAAUUUCCGGUGUAGCAGUGAAAUGCGUAGAGAUCGGAGGGAACAUCUGUGGCGAAGGCGACUAUCUGGGCCAUUACUGACACUGAGGCACGAAAGCGUGGGGAGCAAACAGGAUUAGAUACCCGGGUAGUCCCUGUCUCUUAUAC